RNAcentral lists this ribosomal RNA (377 nucleotides) under uncultured Glomus. RNAcentral describes it as "SSU rRNA". It matches the Rfam family "Eukaryotic small subunit ribosomal RNA", at positions 569 to 950 of the family's 1831-position model. Lineage: Eukaryota; Fungi; Glomeromycota; Glomeromycetes; Glomerales; Glomeraceae. The record is from RNAcentral.
AGCAGCCGCGGUAAUUCCAGCUCCAAUAGCGUAUAUUAAAGUUGUUGCAGUUAAAAAGCUCGUAGUUGAAUUUCGGGAUCAGUACGCUGGUCAUGCCUUUGGUAUGUACUGGCGUUACCGGUUCCUACCUUCUGACGAACCGUCAUGUCAUUCAUUUGGUGUGGCGGGGAAUCAGGACUGUUACUUUGAAAAAAUUAGAGUGUUUAAAGCAGGCUCGCGCUUGAAUACAUUAGCAUGGAAUAAUGAAAUAGGACGUUUGAUCCUAUUUUGUUGGUUUCUAGGAUUGACGUAAUGAUUAAUAGGGAUAGUUGGGGGCAUUAGUAUUCAAUUGUCAGAGGUGAAAUUCUUGGAUUUAUUGAAGACUAACUACUGCGAAA